CGUGUAGGCGGUUGGUUAAGUCGGAUGUGAAAGCCUGGGGCUCAGCCCCAGAAGUGCAUCCGAAACUAUCCAGCUAAAGCGCGAUAGAGGAGGGUGGAAUUCCUGGUGUAGCGGUGAAAUGCGUAGAUAUCAGGAGGAACACCGGCGGCGAAGGCGGCCCUCUGGAUCGUUGCUGACGCUGAGACGCGAAAGCGUGGGGAGCAAACAGGAUUAGAUACCCUGGUAGUCCACGCCUUAAACGAUGGGUACUAGGUGUUCGGGGUGUUGACCCCCUGAGUGCCGCAGUUAACGCAUUAAGUACCCCGCCUGGGGACUACGGCCGCAAGGUUAAA
RNAcentral lists this ribosomal RNA (332 nucleotides) under uncultured bacterium. Its description in RNAcentral is "bacterial SSU rRNA". It matches the Rfam family "Bacterial small subunit ribosomal RNA", at positions 568 to 898 of the family's 1533-position model. The record is from RNAcentral.